AGUCGAGCGGACAGAUGGGAGCUUGCUCCCUGAUGUUAGCGGCGGACGGGUGAGUAACACGUGGGUAACCUGCCUGUAAGACUGGGAUAACUCCGGGAAACCGGGGCUAAUACCGGAUGGUUGUUUGAACCGCAUGGUUCAAACAUAAAAGGUGGCUUCGGCUACCACUUACAGAUGGACCCGCGGCGCAUUAGCUAGUUGGUGAGGUAACGGCUCACCAAGGCAACGAUGCGUAGCCGACCUGAGAGGGUGAUCGGCCACACUGGGACUGAGACACGGCCCAGACUCCUACGGGAGGCAGCAGUAGGGAAUCUUCCGCAAUGGACGAAAGUCUGACGGAGCAACGCCGCGUGAGUGAUGAAGGUUUUCGGAUCGUAAAGCUCUGUUGUUAGGGAAGAACAAGUACCGUUCGAAUAGGGCGGUACCUUGACGGUACCUAACCAGAAAGCCACGGCUAACUACGUGCCAGCAGCCGCGGUAAUACGUAGGUGGCAAGCGUUGUCCGGAAUUAUUGGGCGUAAAGGGCUCGCAGGCGGUUUCUUAAGUCUGAUGUGAAAGCCCCCGGCUCAACCGGGGAGGGUCAUUGGAAACUGGGGAACUUGAGUGCAGAAGAGGAGAGUGGAAUUCCACGUGUAGCGGUGAAAUGCGUAGAGAUGUGGAGGAACACCAGUGGCGAAGGCGACUCUCUGGU
This 691-nucleotide ribosomal RNA is filed under the name Bacillus sp. YIM 93837. Its description in RNAcentral is "bacterial SSU rRNA". It matches the Rfam family "Bacterial small subunit ribosomal RNA", at positions 60 to 733 of the family's 1533-position model. Lineage: Bacteria; Bacillati; Bacillota; Bacilli; Caryophanales; Bacillaceae. The record is from RNAcentral.